This 419-nucleotide ribosomal RNA is filed under the name uncultured beta proteobacterium. Its description in RNAcentral is "bacterial SSU rRNA". It matches the Rfam family "Bacterial small subunit ribosomal RNA", at positions 9 to 430 of the family's 1533-position model. Lineage: Bacteria; Pseudomonadati; Pseudomonadota; Betaproteobacteria. The record is from RNAcentral.
GAGUUUGAUCGUGGCUCAGAUUGAACGCUGGCGGCAUGCCUUACACAUGCAAGUCGAACGGCAGCGCGGGAGCAAUCCUGGCGGCGAGUGGCGAACGGGUGAGUAAUACAUCGGAACGUGCCCAAUCGUGGGGGAUAACGCAGCGAAAGCUGUGCUAAUACCGCAUACGAUCUACGGAUGAAAGCAGGGGAUCGCAAGACCUUGCGCGAAUGGAGCGGCCGAUGGCAGAUUAGGUAGUUGGUGGGGUAAAGGCUCACCAAGCCGACGAUCUGUAGCUGGUCUGAGAGGACGACCAGCCACACUGGGACUGAGACACGGCCCAGACUCCUACGGGAGGCAGCAGUGGGGAAUUUUGGACAAUGGGCGCAAGCCUGAUCCAGCCAUGCCGCGUGCAGGAUGAAGGCCUUCGGGUUGUAAAC